Molecule: ribosomal RNA, 465 nt
Filed under: uncultured bacterium
Lineage: Bacteria
Description: partial 16S ribosomal RNA
Rfam family: Bacterial small subunit ribosomal RNA
Source: RNAcentral
CCUACGGGAGGCAGCAGUGGGGAAUAUUGCGCAAUGGGCGAAAGCCUGACGCAGCGACGCCGCGUGGGGGAUGAAGGUCUUCGGAUCGUAAACCUCUGUCAGCAGGGAAGAACGGUCACUGUGCUAAUCAGCAGUGAAUUGACGGUACCUGCACAGGAAGCACCGGCUAACUCCGUGCCAGCAGCCGCGGUAAUACGGAGGGUGCGAGCGUUAAGCGGAAUUACUGGGCGUAAAGCGCUCGUAGGCGGUCUGUCAAGUCAAGGGUGAAAGCCCCGCGCUCAACGUGGGAACUGCAUUUGAAACUGGGAAACUGGAGUGUGUGAGAGGAGAGUGGAAUUCCAGGUGUAGGAGUGAAAUCCGUAGAUAUCUGGAGGAACAUCAGUGGCGAAGGCGACUAUCUGGCACAUAACUGACGCUGAGGAGCGAAAGCGUGGGUAGCAAACAGGAUUAGAUACCCUUGUAGUC